AUAAUAGAGCACACCACCCCGACAAUGAUAAUCAUAAUGCAGGUUGCAAUCUGAAAAUUAGAACAAGAAACCAUUGUGAAAACCAUUUUAUAACACAAGAUUUCCGGUAAUUAAAUUUCAUUUAGUACAAUGAUGGUUUGCUUCUUAAUUACCUGCAACUUUGUUAAUCUACCUCUGUGUAGCAUGAAAUAACACACGCAUGGGAAGACAACAGCCUGCCAAGG
RNAcentral lists this long non-coding RNA (224 nucleotides) under Malus domestica (apple). RNAcentral's name for it is "long non-coding RNA (MDOM_LNC003986)". The record is from RNAcentral. Lineage: Eukaryota; Viridiplantae; Streptophyta; Magnoliopsida; Rosales; Rosaceae.